GGGAGGAUUCCGAGCGGCGGUCUGGGACGACCUAAGGGUCUCCGCGCGUGUGUAGGAGGAAAGGAAGAUUGUUAACCACCUAGCCUGCAAGGCUUAGAGCUGAAUACGAACCAGGGACUGGGUGCACGGAAGCCAGAGGUUCUUUGUUUAUAAGAUUUAUUUUCUAGUUAUGUGUGUGUGUGUGGGUUUUUGCAUGCGAGUGCAGUGCUCUAGGAGGCCAGAAGAGGCCGUCGGAUUCCCCCUGGAGCUGGAGUUACUAGCUGGUGUGAGGUGGUGUGUUGGGAAUUGAACUGUCCUCGGCACGCAUUCUUCACCUCUGAGCCAGCCCUUCAGCCCCAUUGAUUUGUUUUAAAACUAAGGUUUCUUGAAGGGUGUGCCUGCUUUGCGUCAGACUCUGUAGACAUCAAGACACACACUUGCUUUUGAGGAGUUGCCCUGACAGGGAGACCCAUAGUAAAUACUCAAACCCUUAAACAUCAGUUUCCUUGAAUCCUCACAGCUGCUUCAUGUAAUCAAUCUCACAAGGGAAAGCAAUGCUCACAGACUGUGUGAGCCUUUGGGUUCUGAUGUGCGACCUGACUCCAGGUCGUCCAGCAAUGCAAGGAGGUAGCAGCUGUCAGGAAUUUUCGUAUUUGCUAGCUUCACAACACAGUUUAUCCUGAUUCCUCGGGUAGAGGAUCCUUAUGUCCUCAUUUUAGAAGACAAUACAUCAAUUUGUUGGCGUGUUCUUCACCCUUUGCAUUUGGUCUUUGUGAUUAACUUCUCUACAGUAUCCACAUACUUUAUAUUUUUCUCUAUACUCCCCUCCCCCCGAGUCCUAGUACAAGUACACUUGUUAUACAUGUCAAUUUAAAUAAUAUUUUGAAAGAUUAGUUUUGUUUUAUGUGUAUGUGUGGACUCAAGUGUGUGUAUAUGCACUGUGUGUAGGUGCCCAAGGAUACCAGAAGAGGGCACUGCAUAUCCUGGAACUGGAGUUCCUGGCAUUUGUGAGCCACCACGUGGGUUCUGGGAACCAGUUCUUCUGUAGAGCAGUAAGUACUCUUAACUGCUGAGCCAUCUCUCCAGCCCAUUAAAUGAUUUAAAAAAAAGGAUUCUGUAGACGUAACUCACUGCCCUGAAAAUACCAACCUAAAAAAGUAUGUGCAAUAUGGUCAAAAGUUGUGUAGAAGAUAAGGUGCAAAAAGAGGCCCAUGAGGAAAGAUAAGAGGGAAAAUGUUUUGUGAAAAAAUCUGAUCCAGAUAUGGCAGCACAUCUGUAAUCCUAGCAGAGGCCAGCUAGGGCUAUAUAGUGAGAUCCUGUCUCAAAAUCAGAACAAGGGACUGGAGAGAUGGCUCUGUGGUUAAGAGUACAUGCUGCUCUUGCAGAGGACCCUAAGGUGGUUACACACACACACACACACACACACACACACACACACACACACAAAAAAAAAACUAAAAGUUUUCCCCAAGUCUUUACAAAGUUGGCAGUAAUUCUUUUACAUUAUAAACUCAGAAUAGUGGCUGGCGAAUCACAUCUCUGCUUCCCUGUUUUUAUUAUCUGAGCAGUACUGUAUGCUACAAGAAGUUUGCCUCUUUCGGAUGACAGAACAAGCUACCAGUAGAAGCAAUUAAGACAUGGCUGCUCUUUUGCAUUGGAGCUGUCUUGCUGCCUUUAAGGAAAAAAGUCCCAGAGCUUUAGAGUGGAUUCAACCUUUAAGUUUUCACUGUGUCUCCGAGUCAAGAUAAAAUGCUGACACCAAGAGAGAACAGAUGGUGUGCAUGAAAUGAGUCACAUGUCUGAAGCCAUCAGCUAGCAAGAACAACCUACAGGAGAGGAAGGAACUCAAGUGACUUUUUUUCUCCCUUCUCUACUUUUUUUUGAGGCUAAAAACCUUGAGUAAAAGAAGAUUGAGUAAGAUUUGGAAAACAACAGAUGGUCCUUUAAACUGUCAGCAUCCAAGCAUAUGAAGAAUCCAGGCUGCUCGUGUGGUGGUUCAGUGUGGAGGACUCUUUCUCUCUGUCCUUCUUUGCCCCAUCUCUGGUCCAUCACGACUUCCAUGGAGACACUUGACUUUCAUUUAGGUUUCUUACUGGUGCUCCCUGGGACAUUUUCUUUAGUGGUCAUUUAGGACAGACCAUUUCUACUUUUUAUCAAAACAUUUAUUUGUUUGUUUGUUUGUUCUCUGUGUAGCUCUGGCUGUCUUGGCUCUGUAGCCCAGGCUGCCCUCAAACUCAGAGAUCAGCCUGCCUCUGCCUCCCAAGUGCUGGGACUAAAGGUGUGCACCACCACUGCCUGGCAAAACAUGUAUUCAUUAUUAUUUAAAACUCAUAACUACUAUAAUCCCAGCACUCAGGAAGCAGAGGCAGGGUAAAUGAAAUUUCAUGGCCAGCCUGGGCUACAAAGAGACCCUGUAUUAAACAAAACAUGGCCUGGUGAGAUGGCUCAGUGGAUAAAGGCACCUACUGCCCACCCGAGUUCAAUCCCUGAAACCCAUGUAAAGGGAAGAGAGAAUCAACUCCACAAAGUUGUCCUUUGACCUCUACACAUGUGCUGUAUGGUGCAUGUGUACACACACACACACACAAACAUACAAUUUUAAAACAGAAGAAUGUAACAAAGCCAAACCCUCACAGCUAUGCAGUCUGACCUCCCUGGCUGGCUUCUGCAUUUCUUAGCUCAAACAUCCCUCACUCAGUAUGAUCUUCCCUGAUACAUUGAUUAGACUGGGUCAAGGAUCCAGCCAAGAUUUUCAUUUGCUCCUUUGACAAGCAUUUCCUACCCUGAGUGCAUGCAGGACAGGCACCUUUCUAAAGGCUGGGACUCUGCCAGGGACAAAAGCUUCACCCUCGUGGUGCUCAGAAUCGUGCUGGAAAACAGAAGAUCUAGCAGAAAGUGUUAUACAGAGACAAUAAGGAAACUUUAAGGAGAUGCUAUCUCUGACAUGAAGGUAAUCAAGGAAGGCUUCUCUACGGAGGUGACCUUUGAGCAGAGGUUUAAAUGAAAUGAGGGGCAAGCCUUAUCGACUGGGAAGAAAUGUCCUAGGUGUCAGUGACAAAAGGGCAAAGGCCUUGAGUGAUGAUCCCUUCUGGGGCUCUUCCUCGCAAAACUCACUGAGGGGCUGGUAGCAGCUCAUGUGUAGCAGGAGCUCAGCACCAAACAUAUCUUUGGGAUGGACAGAUGGAUGGCAUUUCUUCCCACCCCUGUAUACACAUAUCUGUGUUACCCUUCCAUCUGGGAUAUUCUCUUUGUUGACUACCGAAGUGCCUUCCUCCCUCCCCUCCCCUCGUUGACAGAGUCUUCCUAUACAGCCUAGGCUAACCUCAAAUUCAUGAUCUUACUGCCUCAGCCUCCUGUGUGCUGGGAUUCCACCUGCCAGCAUGUCCAGCUCCACCAGGGUAAUGGAAGAAAGGGAGGCAAAUGGAGACUAGCCACCUUUUAUAGAGCAAGGUCUUGUCUCAAAACCAGAGCUAGGCAUGGUGGCACAUGCCUUUAAUCCCAGCUCUCAGGAGGCAAAUGUAGAUAAAUCUCUGUGAGUUCGAGGCCAGCCUGGUUUACAUAGCAAGUUCUAAAAUAGCUAGAGGUACAUAAUUUGAGAAACCUUGUCUAAAAACAAAACAAAAACAAAAUCCAACAACCCCCCCCCCCAAAAAAAAAAAAACAUAGGCAUGGUGGUGCACUCCCGCAUUCCUAACAUUCAGGAGGUGGAGGCAAGGGGAUCACCCCCAAUCUGACACUCCAAGCACAAGCAAAACAACCUCCAGUUUAAUGUGGAUCUUUGCUUGUUUGAUUCUCUGGCCUUGGAGCACAGGAUUGCACAUGCUAGUUUUCAGGAUGUGUGCAUGCCACAAAAGGGUUCCACAGCUGCGAUUCUGAGUGAUACAGCGAGGAAAACCUCAGUCAGCUGUCUCAGGAGAUGGACACCCCAUCCCAGAAAGCACACCAGCUCAUCAGUAUACACAAAAAGCAGCCUCUGCGUGUUGUGAAACAACACGAUCCCAAACAGCCCUCAUCCCCCAGAGAGGGAAGAAGCGCCAUUUGCUCAUCCCAGCUGCCCCAUCCCAGCACUCACAAAUUGAAUCCUAUGACAUCUGAUUUAUUUGCCCUGCUUCUGUGAACAGCUACCACUCCACGACUCCUGUGACCACUUCCGUGACUAUACCAUUUUGUAAGUUAACAGUUCUGCUUGCAUUCCACUUCCAAACAGUUCCAGAACAUUCAACCGCCCUUGUCCUGUCACAAGUGAUAGCCAGUCAUUUCUGUCUCUACAGUAUACAGUAAAUAUGUCCGGAAGCAAAACACCCGAGUUAUAUGCUCACCAAGACUUAUAUGCAUUUCAUUUUUUAUUACCAAUCAAAAAUAAAUUCCAUAUAUUGUUUAGCAAAUAUUAUCAUUGUUUUGUGACAAAAGACACAAGAGUCAUAACAACAAAACUCCCCGAGAGUCAAACUCGUAACAAUGCCAAAAUAAAUCACAAAAAUAUACAAAUUAAAAUCUUAAUGCAAAAUAAAUAGGAGUCAUUUGCUACGGCGACUGUGACUUGCCUACCCACUUGGAUGCCACCUGCAAAGUCUUCCUUACCUGGGAAGACAUACGGACGAGGCCAGUUCCAGGGUAUGGCUCAGCCCAGGAACCAGAGGUUGGAUGAGGAAGUGAAAAAUUGCGCUGGGAGGAGGAAGUCAUCAGACCAGUAAUAUUUGGAAAUAAUUAUGACCCUCUGCAAGAAGUGAUUCUAAAUGUGGGAGGGGGAGGGCGGGCUGGGAGGGGAGGGGCCUGUCUGUUGGUGGUGACUGUGUCUGCAGAGAGGUAGCUGUGGAAGUGUAUGCACCUGCUACUUUUGCUUCACACCAACCACGUGGUUUUGCUCUACCUGGCACUUAGGUCUCUCAGGAACACAGCUGGCAGCUCCUCUAGGGACUUGGGAGCAUGCUGCACCGACAGAAAACUAAGGGUUUCUUAAGGGCUUGGAGGUCUGGUGUCUUUUUCCCUUAUAGUUGAAAACCACCUUCUUCUCUGGGCUUCUAGGAGUAAGUUCUGUGAGUGGAGGAGACCUCAGCCUGGCCAGGGGUACAAGACACCCCUAGGAGGUGGGAUUCUCUGGGUACAUAGACAGCAGAGUACUUGGGGUGACAGGACUCCACUGGCUGAGGAAAGGAGUGAAUACAUUAGAUGAAACCCUCCUUUCCUGGGGGUCCUUAAGUGGGCAAAAGAGGUCAGGUGACCCUCAGCCAGUUACACAGGCAAGGGUGUGAUGACCCAGCUUGGGUGGCUUCCAACAUGUCCUGUCCCCAGUCCCUAGAGGGAUGAGUAUAGAGAUAAGAAUGGGGAGCUGGGGAAGAAGUCUUCCUGGGUGAACUUCUGAACCCUGACUCUUCUUGCAGCUGUGGGUGGUAGAGUAGUAACUGUUAACACAGAUACCUACGGUCACAUUCAGCCCUGGAACCAGAAGGGGUAUCCGACAAGUCACCUCUAAAGUAGGUGCUGUCCCCUCUGAGGGGGGACCUUUGGUAAAACAGAGCGCAUGGCCAAGAAGCAGAUAAGCAACGGUAGAGCCAAAGACCACGCCUAACUCUUGGAGCCAGACCCUAACAGGAGGGAAUUGUCCAAAGGGAUCGAUGAGAGCCAGGGGGGGGUGGUUCUCAGCUGAGUCCUGACUCAGCAGCAGAGCCUGUGGACGGAGUUCUAGGAGAUCACUGGAUCCUGGAGCAGAUGUAGUCCUCUCUGUUGCCGGGGUGGGUCAUCGUGUCCCUGAACAGUUCCCCAGCACCUCUCAGCCUCAGUGACCUCAGUGCGUGUGUCCUAGCAGUGGAUGUCAGUAUCCUUUGGAUCCCUGCUUCCUAGGUAGAACUGUUCUCCUCCCAGGAGCCCCCUCCUGUGGGCUCCAGGCCCCCACUGCUGCAGAAGAAUGGUUCCUAGAGCGACAGACACAGGCUGAAAGGUCUUGGCCAGGAACAGGUUAUGGCUGUUGCUUCCUGGGGUGAGGAACCCUCCUCCCCUUUGGGUUUCUUGAAAAAAAAAAAAAAUUCUUUUUUUUUUUUUUUUAACAUAAAGUUCCUUAACCCUGUCUUCCCUUCCCAAAAUGAUAUUUAAAAAGAGGAGCAAUGAGCCUAGCUUAAAAAUUCUCUCAGUGUUUAAAAAAAAAAAAAAAGACAAAAA
Long non-coding RNA from Peromyscus californicus insignis, 6135 nucleotides. RefSeq lists it as uncharacterized. The transcript has 2 exons. NCBI's taxonomy places the organism in Eukaryota, Metazoa, Chordata, Mammalia, Rodentia, Cricetidae. The record is from RefSeq and is a predicted model, not a curated record.